GGCCAUGGCGCAGUCUGGUAGCGCGUCCGUCUGGGGGACGGAAGGUCGCAGGUUCGAGUCCUGCUGGCCCGACCAAAACA
This 80-nucleotide transfer RNA is filed under the name Octadecabacter arcticus 238. Its description in RNAcentral is "tRNA-Pro". It matches the Rfam family "tRNA". Rfam says of the family: Transfer RNA (tRNA) molecules are approximately 80 nucleotides in length. Their secondary structure includes four short double-helical elements and three loops (D, anti-codon, and T loops). The record is from RNAcentral. Lineage: Bacteria; Pseudomonadati; Pseudomonadota; Alphaproteobacteria; Rhodobacterales; Roseobacteraceae.